This 85-nucleotide transfer RNA is filed under the name Felis catus (domestic cat). It matches the Rfam family "tRNA". Rfam says of the family: Transfer RNA (tRNA) molecules are approximately 80 nucleotides in length. Lineage: Eukaryota; Metazoa; Chordata; Mammalia; Carnivora; Felidae. The record is from Rfam by way of RNAcentral.
GCCUGGGUGGCUCAGUUGGUUGGGCAUCUGACUUCGGCUCAGAUCAUGAUCUCUCGGUUUGUGGGUUCGAGCCCCGCGUCAGGCU